Molecule: long non-coding RNA, 168 nt
Organism: Trifolium pratense (red clover)
Lineage: Eukaryota; Viridiplantae; Streptophyta; Magnoliopsida; Fabales; Fabaceae
Exons: 3
Source: RefSeq, a predicted model, not a curated record
UUAGAUUGGUAUUUGGAUAUACCUCUGGAUAGAUGACAACAAUGUUAUGUAGUUUUUUAGAAAGAUAUUUAUUGCAGGUGUGUCAUUUGUGGCUGCACUAGGCUUCUUACUCUAUGGAGGAAGAUUAUUUUACAUGCUGAAGCAUUUGCCAAUUGAAUCUAAAUAGCG